AUUGAACGCUGGCGGCAUGCUUUACACAUGCAAGUCGAACGGCAGCGGGGAGGAGCUUGCUUCUCUGCCGGCGAGUGGCGAACGGGUGAGCAAUACAUCGGAACGUGUCGAGAAGAGGGGGAUAACCACCCGAAAGGGUGGCUAAUACCGCAUAAAUUCUGAGGAAGAAAGCUGGGGACCUGGGAAUAGGCCUAGCGCUUUUUGAGCGGCCGAUGUCGGAUUAGCUAGUUGGUGAGGUAAAGGCUCACCAAGGCGAAGAUCUGUAGCGGGUCUGAGAGGAUGAUCCGCCACACUGGGACUGAGACACGGCCCAGACUCCUACGGGAGGCAGCAGUGGGGAAUUUUGGACAAUGGGGGCAACCCUGAUCCAGCCAUGCCGCGUGUAUGAAGAAGGCCUUAGGGUUGUAAAGUACUUUUGUUAGGGAAGAAAAGUCAGCUGUGAAUAAUGGCUGAUACUGACGGUACCUAAAGAAUAAGCACCGGCUAACUACGUG
RNAcentral lists this ribosomal RNA (494 nucleotides) under uncultured bacterium. RNAcentral describes it as "partial 16S ribosomal RNA". It matches the Rfam family "Bacterial small subunit ribosomal RNA", at positions 30 to 507 of the family's 1533-position model. The record is from RNAcentral.